Molecule: long non-coding RNA, 433 nt
Organism: Carassius auratus (goldfish)
Lineage: Eukaryota; Metazoa; Chordata; Actinopteri; Cypriniformes; Cyprinidae
Exons: 3
Source: RefSeq, a predicted model, not a curated record
UCGCUUGACAGGUAGAGUUACGAGCGCGAAUCACCUGUCACUCUCGCUCGAGCGCACCUGUUGCGUCCUUAUAGACUUUUUGUCCUCAACUUUAUCUUUUGGUUUUACAUUUUUGUCUGUGUCAAGCAAAGUCGCCUUGUCUACCCAAACCCCUCCGUGUUUGGAGCAAAGUUCACCUCUGUGAGAGAACAGAUUGAUAUGGAGCCUUGAAGAAGAGUUUACCGCAAGACUUUCUGGAAACGGGAGGAUUUAUCGGCGAACUGAAGCACGGGACCGUAGAUUCUCUCUGCUGAGGGUGGAUGUCGUAGAACAUGAAUGCUUUGGGGACCCCAACAAAUCCCACCAAUGGGGUGGCCAGAUCGGACAGCAAGAUCAGUGCCAAAACCCUGUUCGGUGAGUAAACAUCACAUUUAUUUGUAAAUUAAAGGAGCUG